CUGUAUUCUUACUUGGGCUAUAAGGCUGUAUUUUCCCCAUCUUUGAAAAAAAUUUUUUUUUUCCUCUCACAACACCCUUCCUGUUUCCAAUUAUGUGCCAUCUCUUUCAAGCAUCUAAUGAUUUUGAUAAUUUAAUUGGUUAUAAAUUCAAUGGGAAAAAAUCUUAUUUAGAUUCUGUGCCAGGUGCUGAGGGAACUCCUGGUAAGUAUUAAAUUUAGAGGUAUGUGUGUCGAAUUAAGGGAGGACAGAAAAAGAAAUAGGGAAAUUAGGACUGGGAAGAGAGAGAAGUAACUUUUGAGGUAGUCCUUGAGGAUGGAUAGAAAUUCCCUGGAGUGGCAGGACCCUUCUUGCCACUAUAUCAAAUUAUGUCAUUCUGACAGGAAAGAUCUAGAAUACAGGUGCCUGAUAUCCAGGGUAUCUGGGGUAAAAGGACACAUGUCUAUAACUGCAAAUGGAGUCAGAUGGUGAGAGGUGGGGAGUGAGGAGUGGCUUUAUGAUCUGAAGGACAUAUUCUGUGGGCAGUAGUUGUGAUCUUUGGGAGCCCUUGCAGUAUUAGAUCUUUUGGAACCUGAUGACUUUUGAGUUUUCUUGUGAAGGUUAACUUCCUCAGGCCCAUUUAGUGUUCUUUCUUAUGCUCUUUGUUUACCCUAGGGGCCAAUAACCAUUGACUUGCUUUCCUUCUUUUUUGUUCUUUUUAGAUACACAUGACCGUAGAAUGUAAUUUUUUUUAGUUGUAGAUGGAUCCAAUAUCUUUGUUUAUUUUUAAUGUGGUGCUGAGAUUCAAACCCAGUGCCUCAUGCAUGCAAGGCAAGUGAUCUACCACUGAGCUACAAUCCCAGUCACCGUUUUAUUUUGACAUGUUGCACAGAUAUAGAUUAUGGUUUAUUCUAAUUCUGUUCUUGGGGUUGUACAUGAUGUGGACCUAACUUUGGUUGUGUAGUC
RNAcentral lists this long non-coding RNA (942 nucleotides) under Marmota monax (woodchuck). The record is from RNAcentral. Lineage: Eukaryota; Metazoa; Chordata; Mammalia; Rodentia; Sciuridae.